GAUGAAGAACGUAGCGAAAUGCGAUAAGUAAUGUGAAUUGCAGAACUCAGUGAAUCAUCGAAUCUUUGAACGCACAUUGCGCCCGCCAGUAUUCUGGCGGGCAUGCCUGUCCGAGCGUCAUUUCAACCCUCGAACCCCUCCGGGGGGUCGGCGUUGGGGAUCGGCCCUUUACGGGGCCGGCCCCGAAAUACAGUGGCGGUCUCGCCGCAGCCUCUCCUGCGCAGUAGUUUGCACACUCGCAUCGGGAGCGCGGCGCGUCCACAGCCGUUAAACACCCCAAACUUCUGAAAUGUUGACCUCGGAUCAGGUAGGAAUACCCGCUGAACUUAAGCAUAUCAAUAAGCGGAGGA
RNAcentral lists this unclassified non-coding RNA (350 nucleotides) under soil metagenome. Its description in RNAcentral is "partial contains 5.8S ribosomal RNA, internal transcribed spacer 2, and large subunit ribosomal RNA". The stretch from base 1 to 120 matches the Rfam family "5.8S ribosomal RNA", at positions 35 to 154 of the family's 154-position model. The record is from RNAcentral.